AAAAAUGCACAUAUUGUGAGCUCGAUGAGUAGGGCGGGACACGUGGUAUCCUGUCUGAAUAUGGGGGGACCAUCCUCCAAGGCUAAAUACUCCUGACUGACCGAUAGUGAACCAGUACCGUGAGGGAAAGGCGAAAAGAACCCCGGCGAGGGGAGUGAAAAAGAACCUGAAACCGUGUACGUACAAGCAGUGGGAGCACGCUUAGGCGUGUGACUGCGUACCUUUUGUAUAAUGGGUCAGCGACUUAUAUUCUGUAGCAAGGUUAACCGAAUAGGGGAGCCGAAGGGAAACCGAGUCUUAACUGGGCGUUAAGUUGCAGGGUAUAGACCCGAAACCCGGUGAUCUAGCCAUGGGCAGGUUGAAGGUUGGGUAACACUAACUGGAGGACCGAACCGACUAAUGUUGAAAAAUUAGCGGAUGACUUGUGGCUGGGGGUGAAAGGCCAAUCAAACCGGGAGAUAGCUGGUUCUCCCCGAAAGCUAUUUAGGUAGCGCCUCGUGAAUUCAUCUCCGGGGGUAGAGCACUGUUUCGGCAAGGGGGUCAUCCCGACUUACCAACCCGAUGCAAACUGCGAAUACCGGAGAAUGUUAUCACGGGAGACACACGGCGGGUGCUAACGUCCGUCGUGAAGAGGGAAACAACCCAGACCGCCAGCUAAGGUCCCAAAGUCAUGGUUAAGUGGGAAACGAUGUGGGAAGGCCCAGACAGCCAGGAUGUUGGCUUAGAAGCAGCCAUCAUUUAAAGAAAGCGUAAUAGCUCACUGGUCGAGUCGGCCUGCGCGGAAGAUGUAACGGGGCUAAACCAUGCACCGAAGCUGCGGCAGCGACGCUGAUGCGUUGUUGGGUAGGGGAGCGUUCUGUAAGCCUGUGAAGGUGUGCUGUGAGGUAUGCUGGAGGUAUCAGAAGUGCGAAUGCUGACAUAAGUAACGAUAAAGCGGGUGAAAAGCCCGCUCGCCGGAAGACCAAGGGUUCCUGUCCAACGUUAAUCGGGGCAGGGUGAGUCGACCCCUAAGGCGAGGCCGAAAGGCGUAGUCGAUGGGAAACAGGUUAAUAUUCCUGUACUUGGUGUUACUGCGAAGGGGGGACGGAGAAGGCUAUGUUGGCCGGGCGACGGUUGUCCCGGUUUAAGCGUGUAGGCUGGUUUUCCAGGCAAAUCCGGAAAACUAAGGCUGAGGCGUGAUGACGAGGCACUACGGUGCUGAAGCAACAAAUGCCCUGCUUCCAGGAAAAGCCUCUAAGCAUCAGGUAACAUCAAAUCGUACCCCAAACCGACACAGGUGGUCAGGUAGAGAAUACCAAGGCGCUUGAGAGAACUCGGGUGAAGGAACUAGGCAAAAUGGUGCCGUAACUUCGGGAGAAGGCACGCUGAUAUGUAGGUGAAGUCCCUCGCGGAUGGAGCUGAAAUCAGUCGAAGAUACCAGCUGGCUGCAACUGUUUAUUAAAAACACAGCACUGUGCAAACACGA
Molecule: ribosomal RNA, 1465 nt
Filed under: Shigella flexneri
Lineage: Bacteria; Pseudomonadati; Pseudomonadota; Gammaproteobacteria; Enterobacterales; Enterobacteriaceae
Description: partial 23S ribosomal RNA
Rfam family: Bacterial large subunit ribosomal RNA
Source: RNAcentral